Molecule: ribosomal RNA, 327 nt
Filed under: uncultured eukaryote
Lineage: Eukaryota
Description: partial 18S ribosomal RNA
Rfam family: Eukaryotic small subunit ribosomal RNA
Source: RNAcentral
CCCUUAGAUGUUCUGGGCCGCACGCGCGCUACACUGACGAAUGCAAAGAGCUUAUAACCUUGGCCGAAAGGUCUGGGUAAUCUCCAAAUUUCGUCGUGAUGGGGAUAGAUUAUUGCAAUUAUUAAUCUUCAACGAGGAAUGCCUAGUAAGCGCAAGUCAUCAGCUUGCGUUGAUUACGUCCCUGCCCUUUGUACACACCGCCCGUCGCUCCUACCGAUUGAAUGGUCCGGUGAAGCGUUCGGACCGUGGCCUUUGGACGGUUCGCCGUCUGUUGGCUGCGGGAAGUUCGUUAAACCUUAUCAUUUAGAGGAAGGAGAAGUCGUAACA